Molecule: long non-coding RNA, 4373 nt
Filed under: Gallus gallus (chicken)
Lineage: Eukaryota; Metazoa; Chordata; Aves; Galliformes; Phasianidae
Source: RNAcentral
CGCUCGGCAGCGCAGAGCGGACGCGCAGCCUGAUCGCUUGGGGGGGGGUUCCCGGCGCAAUAAAAGGCUUUUAAGGGAGCAGCACCCGGCUCGUCCCAGGAGAAAGGCGGCAGCAGGGGAAAGUGUUCAAUAAUCCUGAUGAGGGUUGCACAGCUGAGUGCUGUUGCAGCACUACUUCAGAGGAGCACAUCUCUGAAUACUUAUGGAGCCUUGUCCUACAGGCAGAAGUUUUAUGCUCCUGAAAAAGUGAAAAAUUAUUGGAGGCAGUAGGAGUGCAAGGAGCACAGCUUUAAAAGAUGAGAGCAAUGAGGAUGGUAGAGGAAGAACACAGAAAUCUCCAGAGACACAGGUUGAAUGGUAAAGAUGUCCUGGAAGAAAAGAAUCAGUUUUACAGAACUCUCUGAAAUGGAAGGUAAUGGGAGAUAACCUGUGCAAUUUCAUGCUCAGGAGAGGGCCAGUGUGGAUCAGGUUGCUCAGGCCCAUGUCCAGUUGGGUUUCAUCAGUAGAAGAUAAAGCUGCAAUACCAAUCUUCAAGAGAUGGGUGAAUGCCACAGAAAAAUAUGGUUUUACAAAAAGGAUUCAAGAAGCAUUAAGGAUGGUAUUUAGGCAGAUGAACAGCAUUUCUCCUGAGACAUGGGUUGGUCCAGGAAGGAAUUUGUUUUCCCGAUAAUAAGCCCUUGGACAUUUUCCCAGAGUGGAGUACUGCAAGGAACGCUGUGCAGAAUUUAAGGAGAAGCAAACAAAAACCAGGCAACACAUUGUGGCCACUGGGUCAGUUGUCCUGAGGACCUAUUUAGUGCUGCCUGAGCAUCUAUAUGUUGUAUCCUUUGUUUGCAUAUGGUUCUGCAUUUGGUUGUAAACUAUUAGAGUCAUGUGUUGUAAUUUAUGUGAUGUAUUAUGCUGGUAAUUCAGACUCACACUUCUUACUAACUCUUCUACAAGGUAGAAUAGCAUUACUGAUGGAGUCAGAGGGGGCAUUACCUCAUUUUGUUGGUGCUGCAUUCAGGUUGCCUAGGGCCUUCCAAUGGCUUACCUGCAAAAUAUCAAGGAGAUGCAGCUUCACAGGUACGUUAAACAGAAAGGCAGAGUAUGUGGUAAUAUUUGUGAGCACUGUUGCAUGAAUAUCCUUUUCCUAUACUUGUGUAAAGUGUUCACUGUUUGUUUAAUGAAUCUUAGGCCUCAUAUGCUAUAUUUACUCUUCCAUAUUUAUAUAAGGUUGUAUAAAAGUCUGUCUGGGAUAUUCAACGUAGCUUCUUGGCAACAAGGAUAUGUUCUAUGAAGUUGUUUGCUGUGUUACAAAGUACUUACUGUUGUUUUUGUUAAAAAGACAAAUCCAUGUAUUUUCUGGUUUCUGACUUGGGAGUUUUAUUGCAUGCUCUUACACCUCAUAAUUUGAACAUUUAGUGAAUUGAUAGUUAAUCAUCUGUCUUUUUCCUUCAUCAUAUUCACUCAUUAAAAACACCGUAGCUUCAAAACUUGAAAGUGUGUAUAUAAAAAUAGACAUGUGCAACUAUACAUAUCAGAAGGAAAGGGAAAUGAGAUUUUUUUCUCCUUAUCCACAAGACUAUAAUUCUAUAAAGAUUUGUGUAAUCUCUGCUGAUGAAAACUAGUUAUUAUGUAUGUAUGUGAAAAAGGCAAAAAAUUAAACUCUACAAAGUCUUGGAUUCUAAUGCAUUAGUUGUUUUUUUUUGUUUUGUUUUGUUUUUUGUUUUAACAGUAGAGCUUUUAUUCAUGCUCAUUUGUGGCAUUACAAUUUGGACAUCAUUACUUUUCUAGUCUGGCUGCAAAGAUGCUGAUGAGACACAUGUUUCUGAUUGCAAACAGUAUUCGGCUUGUCUUUGAAAGACUAGAUAAUAAAUCCGUUCUUUCUUGUCUACACAACAAAGGCAUUAUUUAUUACUUUAUCUAUUUCCUGUUAUUAUCAAUUUUUGUUGGUAUAAACAAAAUAAAAUAUAAACAUAAAUAUUAUCUGGAAAAUCCUCAGGAAUUGCCAAAAUGUUUUUCAUUAUGAGGCAUGUGUCCAGCCUCUAUUUCUAGUUUCUACCAUAAGUGUUGAGCAACAUAUAGUUGCUGACAUGAAAAAAAAACACAUCCCAUGCAUUAAUGUAGCACCUCUGAUAUACUGCAAACAGACAAUUUUCUGUGCAAAAGAACAGAUUUAGAAAUAUUUGGAAUCCAGAUUUCCAGCUCAAACUUUUGUUCCUCCCUUGAGAGAGGGAGAGGUUGUUAGUCUGGAGCAGUUCAUGUAACAACAUGAAAAUUCUGUGUGUCAGAGGCUUUUAGUUGCUGUGAAGUCAUGAAUGAAAAAUGUGUGUUCAGAUUGCCUGGCCUUCUCCAGAUUACUACAGAGAGCAGCAGGUGCUGCAUGUAACACGCACAGGCUCAGUUGUAUAGCUGAUUCAAAGCAGCAGAUUACAGACUCAAGGAACAUUGUUCUCCAUUUUUUAGCCAGGGUAGAAGUGCAUAAAUGUUUCUGAUAUUGAUUUUUCAAUCUCUAACCUUUUGAAUGGACAGAACAGUGGCCAAAUGAUGCUUCUGAUGUCCUAAGUGCUGUCUCAUUGACCUUCCUGUGAGAGUCUGUUUGGCCUGUGUAGUCUCAGUCAUGCUAGACAAGAUGUUGUUUACCAUUACCAUCCUCAGUACCACCGGCAGUGAUAGAAGCUUCAGCACUCUUUGUGUUCCAAAGGGUAUAUUCAGUCACUAUUGAAAGGCAGCCUAUUCUGCGUAUUUGUUUUGCCAUCUAUUCAUUAAUAGAUCUUUUUCUAAUCACACCUUAUGGAGGGUUUGUAAGCAAAAAACAGCCCUUUCAAGGAAGUUGGACUAUGAAUACCUGCUUAUUCCUCAUGAUCCUGAUGUUUGUCAAGUGGUCUACAUGGUAUCAGUGUAAAGCAAAUUACUUCUCUCUGAGGCUAUUUUUCUUUCCAGGACAUCAAGGAAAUUAAAUUCAGAGGCUUGAGAAAAAUGUGUUAUUAAUUUAUUCAAUUAAUCACAGAAAUUAAUUAAAGAACGUGCUGGGCUUCAUAUGGCCUCUAUUGAAUGUGUAAAGGUCAAUAUAUUGUUUACAAAAGACAUAUUUUGAUUAGCUCAUCUUCAUCAACAUAGCAAGUUUAAAUAGUCGUUUAUUCAGAUUAGAGUUAUUUUUAACCUGGAUUGUUUAAUCAUCAUCAUCAGUUAUCCAAAUUAAAGCAUAGCCCUUAGAACAAUUUCAUCAGUUAGAUCAAAUGGAAGCAUGUGGUAAGAUGAUGGUAGCAUUCGUCUGGAGGUGGAAAAGUAAUGGACUUAGAUUGAUUCUGUCUCCAAACCCAUCCAGAAUCAAUAAUCUGAAGUUAUUGAGUGGAUCUUUACCUAAAGUGAGCAAGUCCAGACACACGUUUGAACGUACUACACAAGUGCUCCAAUACUCAGUUCAAAGAAUUUGCUUGGUUCCCAAAUUUAAGGUUGUUCUAGUUCAUGCUUUUGAAAAUUACUCAUGAGUAGAUUUGACUAGACUGGGUGAUUUGGUCACAAGGGAUAUGGAGAAAGCUGAAGUGGUCAAUGACUUCUUUGCCUUGGUCUUCAACAGCAAGGGCUCUAGCUGCACCACCCAAGUUGCAGAAAGUAAAGGUAAGAACUGGGAGAAGACUUGCCCACUAAAUGAAGAUUAGGUUUGAGACCAUCUAAAGAACCUGAAGUCCAUGGGACCCAAUGAGAUCCAUCCACAAGCACAAAAGUGGAAGCUAUAUGCGUUACACAGGAAAAAAAGAAAGUGAAAAGAGAAUAAGAAUGUAGGAAAAUAAUUUAUGCAAGGUUCUGCUUAUCAGAAGUAUUUUCUUUCUGGAUAAAAUAUACUGAAAAAUCUUAGUUUACCUACUGAUAUAACUUCAUUACUGCUGUGGAUGUAUUUAGUGUGGUGCAGAGAUAUCCAAGUAAAUCAAAUCAUUAGGGCAAAAGGCACAGAGCACCACACUCUGCAUCCCAGAACUCAAUCAAUCCCAAAAUAGUAAGUACCAUGAGAGAGCAAUAUUGUUGCUGAAUGAAUAAACAGUGACUGUUGUUAUCAUAGAUGCAGUGUCAUAUGUACUUUACUCCUUGUUUGAGAGCUGACAUAGUCAUUUCCGGAAGGUUUUCUGUGUAACUCACCACUCUAAGUUGUAAAUGCAUAUGAACUGUAAAAAUAAAGGAAAUUCAGUUAAAUGUCAAGACCCAAGUGCUGAAUUAAAUUUUUGUCAAAUUAAACUUCAAAUAAUUUUAAAUCCAACAAUUUCAUACAAUAUUCCUUCAGAAUUACUCAGUUUUCCUUCAGAAUUACUCAGUUUUCCUUCACAUAAGACUUAAUGUUUUCUUAUUAGGCAGAAAUUAACAAAUAAAUAAAUAAAUAACCAGAAAAAUUUUGC